RNAcentral lists this long non-coding RNA (240 nucleotides) under Mytilus galloprovincialis (Mediterranean mussel). The record is from RNAcentral. Lineage: Eukaryota; Metazoa; Mollusca; Bivalvia; Mytilida; Mytilidae.
CAAAAUAAUUGUUUAUGUUUAUUAACAUUGCCAUAUGUUCUUGUACAUGCUGCCAUUUUGAAAUCGAUUCUAUCUCAAAAACUUUUUAAGAAAAAUGUAAAUAAAAGAAAUUGUUUCAAGGGUAUAUAACUCUCAAAAUGGAUGAUGAAAUCCUACGCAGCCUCAUACGGUAAUACAUCAUGAUGAAAUCUACCUAUCGUCCAAAUAAGGUAAUGAUAUCUUCAAAAACAACGAGAGGGG